ACAAUGAAACCGAUGUAUGUACAAUAGUUUCAUUUUAACUGUUGAUUGUAGUGGGUCCCACGUGAGUCUCACUAUGAUCAAUGAAUAUAAUUAAACCGUUGUAUGUAUAACGGUUAUACCAAAUAAAUAUUCGUUUUUUCUGUGGUGAACAGUAGUUCAUUUUUCUCUGCUUUUGGCUUAUAUAUCUCCAUCACCAUAAUUUCAAUUGUCAAUAUUUGAACAAUGACCAUCAAAAGGAAAAUAGUGAAAAAAACAAGGUAGGGCUGGUGGCUAUAUUCCAACAUAGCAAGAGCAAAGUGUUGUUCUAACUUCUUUAACCAAUAAUAAAUAAAUUGAUGUAUGGUUUUCACUUGCUUUUGACUUUUGAAACCUCUUAAAGAGCAGUUGAAAAAUUUCUAUAGAGUUUUCAUGUUGCAAUAUUUUAUGCAUA
RNAcentral lists this unclassified non-coding RNA (430 nucleotides) under Hevea brasiliensis (rubber tree). Lineage: Eukaryota; Viridiplantae; Streptophyta; Magnoliopsida; Malpighiales; Euphorbiaceae. The record is from RNAcentral.